CAAUGAGUAUGGUUAUUACCAACUUCCUUUCUUCUCUGUACUCUUCCAUUUCUCAUCAUUUAGAGAUGUCUGAUCUUUGCAACAGAAGACUGAGACAUGGGCCACAAUUAAUCUUCAUAUUUCAAAAAGAAGACCAGGGAUUGCAGGAAAAUGGUUUAGGGGUACGACCUGUCUGAUCCUGGCAUAACUCCCAGAGAUGGUACUUCCACCUUGCCCAGAGCAAGAGCUCCAUGGAGAAUGGCCAUAAAGAGUCACUCUGAAGCAGAUGAAAUCUCAGCAUGAGAGAGAGAUGAGUGUUCUAGUUGAAGUGAGGGCCAUGUUCCAGGAGACACAUCAGCUCUGCCCUUUCAGCUUCCACUAUACCUUUUCCAGGAGAACUUGGAUCAUUUCCACAUCAAGAAAUGCAGUUUGGAAACCCACUGGACCAGGAAAGCAAAGACACAGUCAUGAUGCAAAUACCCCAAGAGAUGUAAAAUGUCAACAAAAGGCACAAUAUAAGAAGGGAAUGAAUAAAGGCAGAGUCUGGACCCUAGUUCCCACUCUACUACUCUUUCUUUUUAGGAAACAUUUGCUGAUGCCUGGUCCCGGAGCUGCAUUUCUCAAGCUUUAAUAUCCAUGAUAAAAUAAAGAAAACAACCUGAAGAAGCCA
RNAcentral lists this long non-coding RNA (649 nucleotides) under Vulpes vulpes (red fox). RNAcentral describes it as "lncRNA (ENSVVUG00000009877.1)". Lineage: Eukaryota; Metazoa; Chordata; Mammalia; Carnivora; Canidae. The record is from RNAcentral.